GAUUGGUUGAAAAUGAAGGAUUAUGCCUAGCGAGGUUGGUUCCCUCUUCUCUCGAAUCUUCUCAACAUCAAACUCACCAUUUUCUCUACUUCCUUUGCUCCAUCAUCUUCCAUCCAUGUCGAUUUCCACCAAAAUUCCUCAUCCUCUCCUUCAUCACCCUAAUUCACCAUACCCCAAAACCUCAAAAUCCUCAUUUUUAUACUCAACACCCUCUAAAUUAACCUUCUUUAGAUCCAUUACCAUUGAAAGAAUUUCAACAAAAUCUGUUUCUGCAACCCCAGAAGCAGCAGGAGCAGGUGCAGCUUCAGAAUCCUCUUCUUCAUCUCUCCAACCCAUUGAAGAGCUUCCGCCGAAGCUUCAAGAAAUCGUCAAGCUUUUUCAAGCAGUUGAACUACCAAAGGCUAAAUACGAGCAACUGUUGUUUUACGGCAAGAAUUUAAAACCACUUGAUACCCAGUACAAGACUAGUGAAAAUAAGGUUCAGGGUUGUGUUUCACAGGUUUGGGUUAGGGCGUAUUUUGAUUCUGAGAAAAAUGUUGUAUUUGAGGCUGAUUCUGAUUCGGUACUUACUAAAGGUCUUGCUGCUCUGUUAGUUCAGGGACUUUCUGGAAGACCUGUAGAAGAGAUUUUAAAAGUUUCCCCUGAUUUUGCUGUACUUUUAGGGUUGCAACAAAGCUUAACUCCUUCUAGGAAUAAUGGGUUUUUGAAUAUGUUGAAGUUAAUGCAGAAAAAAGCACUUCAGUUGUAUGUUGAAGCUGAGAAAGGUGCUAAUUUAGGCCAGAGUGAAAUAUCGAAUGCCUCGUCGACUGAGUCUCACGAUGUUAAUGGUAAUGGAAAUGUUGAGUCUAUUGCCAGUCCUGAAGUUAAUGGAAACAAUGCAACUGUUGGUGCUAGUGAUGAUGGUGUUUUGAGGAGUAGAGGGAUGAGAAUCAAGGAGAAAUUGGAGAAGGAACUUAGGCCUGUUGAACUAGAAGUUGAAGAUAUAUCUUACCAGCACGCAGGACACGCGGGGAUUAGAGGUAGUGAUGGAGAGACACACUUUAAUUUAAAAGUGGUGUCUGAGGAAUUUGAAGGCAAGAGUUUGGUUAAGAGGCAUAGGAUGAUUUAUGGUUUACUGCAAGAUGAGUUGCAGAAUGGACUACACGCAUUGUCAAUUGUGGCCAAGACACCGUCUGAAGUUGGUAGUAGUUGAAUUGCUGGCGUCAAGAGAGAUGGUUCUGUAACGUGUCUUUCAGUGACAUAACUUUCAAUUUACAUCAAAGGUCUAACUAUCUGAGUUCCAAUGUGACCUUUUCCUUGGCUGCUAGAUCAUACAAUGAUAGAAAUGCAAGAGAAUACAAUAAACCCCUACCCUCUACUGGAUGUCAAUGUCGGGGCUCAACAACGAUGAAGAGGCAGCUCCUAACUUGUGGUGUCGUCGUGGGUAGCUCUUAUGUUCAGACUCUAGGAAAGAAGACAA
Solanum stenotomum is the source of this 1459-nucleotide RNA transcript. It is a transcript of the gene named sufE-like protein 1, chloroplastic/mitochondrial, with no coding region annotated. NCBI's taxonomy places the organism in Eukaryota, Viridiplantae, Streptophyta, Magnoliopsida, Solanales, Solanaceae. The record is from RefSeq and is a predicted model, not a curated record. The transcript has 3 exons.